UACGUAGGGCGCAAGCGUUGUCCGGCAUUAUUGGGCGUAAAGAGCUCGUAGGUGGCGUGUCGCGUCUGCCGUGAAAGCCCAUGGCUUAACUGUGGGUCUGCGGUGGAUACGGGCAGGCUGGAGGCUGGUAGGGGCAAGCGGAAUUCCUGGUGUAGCGGUGAAAUGCGUAGAGAUCCGGAAGAACACCGGAGGCGAAGGCGGCUUGCUGGGCGUGAUCUGACGCUGAGGCGCGAAAGCGUGGGGAGCGAACAGG
RNAcentral lists this ribosomal RNA (253 nucleotides) under uncultured bacterium. Its description in RNAcentral is "partial 16S ribosomal RNA". It matches the Rfam family "Bacterial small subunit ribosomal RNA", at positions 524 to 776 of the family's 1533-position model. The record is from RNAcentral.